CUACGGGUGGCACCAGUGAGGAAUUUUGCGCAAUGGGGGAAACCCUGACGCAGCAACGCCGCGUGAGUGAAGAAGGCCCUUGGGUCGUAAAGCUCUGUCAAUGGGGAAGAAGUUACUUGGUAUUAAUAGUGCCUUGUAUUGACGGUACCCAUGAAGGAAGCACCGGCUAACUCCGUGCCAGCAGCCGCGGUAAUACGGGGGGUGCAAGCGUUAUUCGGAAUUAUUGGGCGUAAAGGGCACGCAGGCGGUCCUGUCAGUCAGAUGUGAAAGCCCGGGGCUCAACCCCGGACGUGCAUUUGAAACAGCAGGACUUGAGUACGGGAGAGGAAAGGGGAAUUCCUGGUGUAGAGGUGAAAUUCGUAGAUAUCAGGAGGAACACCGGUGGCGAAGGCGCCUUUCUGGACCGAUACUGACGCUGAGGUGCGAAGGCGUGGGUAGCGAACGGGAUUAGAUACCCGCGUAGUC
Molecule: ribosomal RNA, 465 nt
Filed under: uncultured bacterium
Lineage: Bacteria
Description: partial 16S ribosomal RNA
Rfam family: Bacterial small subunit ribosomal RNA
Source: RNAcentral